This 322-nucleotide ribosomal RNA is filed under the name uncultured bacterium. Its description in RNAcentral is "bacterial SSU rRNA". It matches the Rfam family "Bacterial small subunit ribosomal RNA", at positions 28 to 332 of the family's 1533-position model. The record is from RNAcentral.
GAUGAACGCUGGCGGCGUGCUUAACACAUGCAAGUCGAACGAGGAUUUAACGGAAUGCGAUUCGUCAAAUGAAAUUAAAUCCGAGUGGCGGACGGGUGAGUAACGCGUGGAUAACCUGCCUCACACAGGGGGGACAACAGUUGGAAACGACUGCUAAUACCGCAUAACACAAGUAAUUCGCAUGAAUAACUUGCCAAAGAUUAUAUCGGUGUGAGAUGGAUCCGCGUCUGAUUAGCCAGUUGCGGGUAACGGCCCACCAAAGCGACGAUCAGUAGCCGACCUGAGAGGGUGACCGGCCACAUUGGGACUGAGACACGGGCCC